GGCGGUUCGCCGCCGAUGACGUCGCGAGAAGUCCACUGAACCUUAUCAUUUAGAGGAAGGAGAAGUCGUAACAAGGUUUCCGUAGGUGAACCUGCGGAAGGAUCAUUGUCGAGUCCCGCACGGCAGAACGACCAGAGAACCGGUAACAAAAACCACGAGGACGGGGAGCUUCGGCCCACGUCCCUCGACACCCCUUGGGUUCGCGCGGGCGCCUCGAGCGCUCGGGCGUCCCUCGGCGGAACAACGAAAAACGGCGCGAAAACCGCCAAGGAACAUGAACAAGAGAGCGAAGCUCCCGUCGCCCCGGGCACGGUGCGCGAUCGGGAUGCCGCGUGAUCUCCUAUUAUCAUAACGACUCUCGGCAACGGAUAUCUCGGCUCUCGCAUCGAUGAAGAACGUAGCGAACUGCGAUACUUGGUGUGAAUUGCAGAAUCCCGUGAACCAUCGAGUCUUUGAACGCAAGUUGCGCCGGAAGCCGUUUGGCCGAGGGCACGCUUGCCUGGGUGUCACACAUGGCGUUGCCCCAACCCCCUCGCCUCGAGGAAACUCGGGCGGGCGGGAGUCGGGUGCGUAGAUUGGCCUCCCGCGACGGUCUCGUCCCGGUUGGCCUAAAAUCGAGCGUCGGAGCGAUCAGCACCACGACAUUCGGUGGUUGACUAAACCCCAAUGAUCAGAUGUCGUGCGUGCCCGCUCGUGCGCACGCUCCGCGGAUCAGUCCCCUUACCAAGCGCGACCCCAGGUGCAAGCCGGGGCUACCCGCUGAGUUUAAGCAUAUCAAUAAG
RNAcentral lists this ribosomal RNA (782 nucleotides) under Homalospermum firmum. Its description in RNAcentral is "eukaryotic LSU rRNA". The stretch from base 354 to 509 matches the Rfam family "5.8S ribosomal RNA". The record is from RNAcentral. Lineage: Eukaryota; Viridiplantae; Streptophyta; Magnoliopsida; Myrtales; Myrtaceae.